Molecule: ribosomal RNA, 465 nt
Filed under: Vreelandella stevensii
Lineage: Bacteria; Pseudomonadati; Pseudomonadota; Gammaproteobacteria; Oceanospirillales; Halomonadaceae
Description: partial 16S ribosomal RNA
Rfam family: Bacterial small subunit ribosomal RNA
Source: RNAcentral
CCUACGGUGUGCAGCAGUGGGGAAUAUUGGACAAUGGGCGAAAGCCUGAUCCAGCCAUGCCGCGUGUGUGAAGAAGGCCUUCGGGUUGUAAAGCACUUUCAGUGGGGAAGAAAGCCUUGGGGCUAAUACCCUCGAGGAAGGACAUCACCCACAGAAGAAGCACCGGCUAACUCCGUGCCAGCAGCCGCGGUAAUACGGAGGGUGCGAGCGUUAAUCGGAAUUACUGGGCGUAAAGCGCGCGUAGGCGGUCUGAUAAGCCGGUUGUGAAAGCCCCGGGCUCAACCUGGGAACGGCAUCCGGAACUGUCAGGCUAGAGUGCAGGAGAGGAAGGUAGAAUUCCCGGUGUAGCGGUGAAAUGCGUAGAGAUCGGGAGGAAUACCAGUGGCGAAGGCGGCCUUCUGGACUGACACUGACGCUGAGGUGCGAAAGCGUGGGUAGCAAACAGGAUUAGAUACCCCGGUAGUC